RNAcentral lists this non-coding RNA (146 nucleotides) under Chlorocebus sabaeus (green monkey). Lineage: Eukaryota; Metazoa; Chordata; Mammalia; Primates; Cercopithecidae. The record is from Rfam by way of RNAcentral.
GCUGGGUGUGGUGGCGCACACCUAUAAUCCCAGCUGCUUGGGAGGCUGAGGCAGGAGAAUUGCUUGAACCUGGGAGGCAGAGGUUGCAGUGAGCUGAAAUUGUCACUGCACUCCAGCCUGGGUGACAGAGUGAGACUCUGUCUUUA